UAGCGUAUAUUAAAGUUGUUGCAGUUAGAACGCUCGUAGUCGGAUUUCGGGGCGGGUCGACCGGUCUGCCGAUGGGUACGCACUGGCCGACGCGUCCUUCCUUCCGGAGACCGUCCCUACUCUUAACUGAGCGGGGGCGGGAGACGGAACGUUUACUUUGAAAAAAUCAGAGUGUUUCAAGCAGGCAUCUCGCUCUUGCAUGGAUUAGCAUGGGAUAAUGAAAUAGGACUUUGGUGCUAUUUUGUUGGUUUCGAACACCGAAGUAAUGAUGAGAAGGGACAGUCAGGGGCACUCGUAUUCCGCCGAGAGAGGUGAAAUUCUCAGACCAGCGGAAGACGAACCACUGCGAAAGCAUUUG
RNAcentral lists this ribosomal RNA (358 nucleotides) under Haptophyta environmental samples. RNAcentral describes it as "SSU rRNA". It matches the Rfam family "Eukaryotic small subunit ribosomal RNA", at positions 595 to 957 of the family's 1831-position model. The record is from RNAcentral. Lineage: Eukaryota; Haptophyta.